GAAAUGCGAUAAUUAAUGUGAAUUGCAGAAUUCAGUGAAUCAUCGAGUCUUUGAACGCACAUUGCGCCCCCUGGUAUUCCGGGGGGCAUGCCUGUCCGAGCGUCAUUGCUGCCCUCAAGCACGGCUUGUGUGUUGGGCUUCCGUCCCUGGCAACGGGGACGGGCCCAAAAGGCAGUGGCGGCACCAUGUCUGGUCCUCGAGCGUAUGGGGCUUUGUCACCCGAUCCCGUAGGUCCAGCUGGCAGCUAGCCUCGCAACCAAUCUUUUUAACCAGGUUGACCUCGGAUCAGGUAGGGAUACCCGCUGAACUUAAGC
RNAcentral lists this unclassified non-coding RNA (314 nucleotides) under plant metagenome. RNAcentral describes it as "partial contains 5.8S ribosomal RNA, internal transcribed spacer 2, and large subunit ribosomal RNA". The stretch from base 1 to 105 matches the Rfam family "5.8S ribosomal RNA", at positions 50 to 154 of the family's 154-position model. The record is from RNAcentral.